RNAcentral lists this ribosomal RNA (1484 nucleotides) under Helicobacter pylori. RNAcentral describes it as "bacterial SSU rRNA". It matches the Rfam family "Bacterial small subunit ribosomal RNA". Lineage: Bacteria; Pseudomonadati; Campylobacterota; Epsilonproteobacteria; Campylobacterales; Helicobacteraceae. The record is from RNAcentral.
AGAGUUUGAUCCUGGCUCAGAGUGAACGCUGGCGGCGUGCCUAAUACAUGCAAGUCGAACGAUGAAGCUUCUAGCUUGCUAGAGUGCUGAUUAGUGGCGCACGGGUGAGUAACGCAUAGGUCAUGUGCCUCUUAGUUUGGGAUAGCCAUUGGAAACGAUGAUUAAUACCAGAUACUCCCUACGGGGGAAAGAUUUAUCGCUAAGAGAUCAGCCUAUGUCCUAUCAGCUUGUUGGUAAGGUAAUGGCUUACCAAGGCUAUGACGGGUAUCCGGCCUGAGAGGGUGAACGGACACACUGGAACUGAGACACGGUCCAGACUCCUACGGGAGGCAGCAGUAGGGAAUAUUGCUCAAUGGGGGAAACCCUGAAGCAGCAACGCCGCGUGGAGGAUGAAGGUUUUAGGAUUGUAAACUCCUUUUGUUAGAGAAGAUAAUGACGGUAUCUAACGAAUAAGCACCGGCUAACUCCGUGCCAGCAGCCGCGGUAAUACGGAGGGUGCAAGCGUUACUCGGAAUCACUGGGCGUAAAGAGCGCGUAGGCGGGAUAGUCAGUCAGGUGUGAAAUCCUAUGGCUUAACCAUAGAACUGCAUUUGAAACUACUAUUCUAGAGUGUGGGAGAGGUAGGUGGAAUUCUUGGUGUAGGGGUAAAAUCCGUAGAGAUCAAGAGGAAUACUCAUUGCGAAGGCGACCUGCUGGAACAUUACUGACGCUGAUUGCGCGAAAGCGUGGGGAGCAAACAGGAUUAGAUACCCUGGUAGUCCACGCCCUAAACGAUGGAUGCUAGUUGUUGGAGGGCUUAGUCUCUCCAGUAAUGCAGCUAACGCAUUAAGCAUCCCGCCUGGGGAGUACGGUCGCAAGAUUAAAACUCAAAGGAAUAGACGGGGACCCGCACAAGCGGUGGAGCAUGUGGUUUAAUUCGAAGAUACACGAAGAACCUUACCUAGGCUUGACAUUGAGAGAAUCCGCUAGAAAUAGUGGAGUGUCUAGCUUGCUAGACCUUGAAAACAGGUGCUGCACGGCUGUCGUCAGCUCGUGUCGUGAGAUGUUGGGUUAAGUCCCGCAACGAGCGCAACCCCCUUUCUUAGUUGCUAACAGGUCAUGCUGAGAACUCUAAGGAUACUGCCUCCGUAAGGAGGAGGAAGGUGGGGACGACGUCAAGUCAUCAUGGCCCUUACGCCUAGGGCUACACACGUGCUACAAUGGGGUGCACAAAGAGAAGCAAUACUGCGAAGUGGAGCCAAUCUUCAAAACACCUCUCAGUUCGGAUUGUAGGCUGCAACUCGCCUGCAUGAAGCUGGAAUCGCUAGUAAUCGCAAAUCAGCCAUGUUGCGGUGAAUACGUUCCCGGGUCUUGUACUCACCGCCCGUCACACCAUGGGAGUUGUGUUUGCCUUAAGUCAGGAUGCUAAAUUGGCUACUGCCCACGGCACACACAGCGACUGGGGUGAAGUCGUAACAAGGUAACCGUAGGUGAACCUGCGGUUG